Non-coding RNA from Podarcis lilfordi (Lilford's wall lizard), 75 nucleotides. The record is from the annotation of a GenBank genome assembly. Lineage: Eukaryota; Metazoa; Chordata; Lepidosauria; Squamata; Lacertidae.
GGAAAUGUGAUAGUUCAGUGGUAGAGCAUCUGAUUUGCAUACAGAAGGUCCCCAGUUCAAUCCCAGGCAUCUCCA